Molecule: ribosomal RNA, 424 nt
Filed under: uncultured Nitrosomonas sp.
Lineage: Bacteria; Pseudomonadati; Pseudomonadota; Betaproteobacteria; Nitrosomonadales; Nitrosomonadaceae
Description: bacterial SSU rRNA
Rfam family: Bacterial small subunit ribosomal RNA
Source: RNAcentral
AAAGACCUUAUGCUUUUGGAGCGGCCGAUGUCUGAUUAGCUAGUUGGUGGGGUAAAUGCUUACCAAGGCGACGAUCAGUAGUUGGUCUGAGAGGACGACCAGCCACACUGGGACUGAGACACGGCCCAGACUCCUACGGGAGGCAGCAGUGGGGAAUUUUGGACAAUGGGCGCAAGCCUGAUCCAGCAAUGCCGUGUGAGUGAAGAAGGCAUUCGGGUUGUAAAGCUCUUUCAGUCGAGAAGAAAAAAUUGUGAUUAAUACUCACAGCUAAUGACGGUAUCGACAGAAGAAGCACCGGCUAACUGCGUGCUAGCAGCCGCGGUAAUACGUAGGGUGCGAGCGUUAAUCGUAAUUACUGGGCGUAAAGGGUGCGCAGGCGGUUCUGUAAGUCAGAUGUGGAAUCCCCGUGCUUAACCUGGGAAUU